This 449-nucleotide ribosomal RNA is filed under the name Vibrio cholerae. Its description in RNAcentral is "partial 23S ribosomal RNA". It matches the Rfam family "Bacterial large subunit ribosomal RNA", at positions 2236 to 2684 of the family's 2925-position model. Lineage: Bacteria; Pseudomonadati; Pseudomonadota; Gammaproteobacteria; Vibrionales; Vibrionaceae. The record is from RNAcentral.
UUAUCCGGGUUGAGGACAGUGCCUGGUGGGUAGUUUGACUGGGGCGGUCUCCUCCCAAAGAGUAACGGAGGAGCACGAAGGUGGGCUAAUCACGGUUGGACAUCGUGAGGUUAGUGCAAUGGCAUAAGCCCGCUUAACUGCGAGAAUGACGGUUCGAGCAGGUGCGAAAGCAGGUCAUAGUGAUCCGGUGGUUCUGUAUGGAAGGGCCAUCGCUCAACGGAUAAAAGGUACUCCGGGGAUAACAGGCUGAUACCGCCCAAGAGUUCAUAUCGACGGCGGUGUUUGGCACCUCGAUGUCGGCUCAUCACAUCCUGGGGCUGAAGUCGGUCCCAAGGGUAUGGCUGUUCGCCAUUUAAAGUGGUACGCGAGCUGGGUUUAGAACGUCGUGAGACAGUUCGGUCCCUAUCUGCCGUGGGCGUUGGAAGAUUGAAGGGGGCUGCUCCUAGUAC